GGGUAGCGUCACUGGGGGUGACGCGACUCCGUACCUAGAAUUUCUCACGUGGAGUGGACCCUGCCCAGCCCUUCGAGCUGAGUCAUUCCGGAGACUCCCAGCUUAGGGCUUUGCAUCUCGUAGGACAGCUGCUCGGCACGACAGGACCUUCCUUGCUCUGGGCGAA
RNAcentral lists this long non-coding RNA (166 nucleotides) under Octodon degus (degu). Its description in RNAcentral is "ST7 overlapping transcript 4 conserved region 2 (ENSODEG00000022551.1)". It matches the Rfam family "ST7 overlapping transcript 4 conserved region 2". Lineage: Eukaryota; Metazoa; Chordata; Mammalia; Rodentia; Octodontidae. The record is from RNAcentral.